Molecule: ribosomal RNA, 200 nt
Filed under: uncultured bacterium
Lineage: Bacteria
Description: partial 16S ribosomal RNA
Rfam family: Bacterial small subunit ribosomal RNA
Source: RNAcentral
AUUGAACGCUGGCGGCAGGCCUAACACAUGCAAGUCGAACGGAUCCUUCGGGAUUAGUGGCGGACGGGUGAGUAACACGUGGGAACGUGCCUUUAGGUUCGGAAUAACUCAGGGAAACUUGUGCUAAUACCGAAUGUGCCCUUCGGGGGAAAGAUUUAUCGCCUUUAGAGCGGCCCGCGUCUGAUUAGCUUGUUGGUGGG